Ictidomys tridecemlineatus (thirteen-lined ground squirrel) is the source of this 904-nucleotide non-coding RNA. Lineage: Eukaryota; Metazoa; Chordata; Mammalia; Rodentia; Sciuridae. The record is from RefSeq and is a predicted model, not a curated record.
GCUUGUCCAUUUUCAAAUUUAUUCAUUUACAAUUCUGGAGAUCCAAACACAUACAGUAUUCUAUUCAUAAUUAAAAUCUUCACCAUUUUUCCAGGAAUGCAUUUUGAUAUUUUUGAAGUGAGUGAAGUUUACUAAAUGAGAAGGCUCAAGAGAAGACAGCAUCAUAUGAAAAAACAUGCAGACAACAACGGAAGGUUUUGUGGGAUGAUGACAUGAAAGAGGCAAGUUGUGACCUGAUGGCUGAGAGGAGAGGCCUUGGCACAAGUGCUCUGGAAGAAAAACAAAGCAUCCUCUUCAAAGCAUUCUCUGUGGAACCUAUUUCAGAAUUAAACACUUUUAGGCUCUGUUAUGUCUUUCAUGGAGUCAUGUCUGUUUUUCUUUCGAGGUCAAUAUCUCCCUCUGUUCCCUAGGGAUUCCAAGGAGGUGUGAGUCAUAGUCAGUGAAAUCACACUGGGAAUGGAAUGGUAUUGUCAGACCCAGAGUUGGUUGAGUGUUUCCGCAGAUGAACAACAGAGGAGCCAAUGAGGAUCAAAAUGUGUGUGUGUGUGUGUGUGUGUGUGUGUGUUUAUGCACGCGUGCGCUCUUGCGCCCUAAAUAUAAAGGCUCUAAUGGGGAUAGUUUUCUUUUGGGGCCUGUGCUGAGAGCCAGUAGAUCUGUAACUCUGCCAUUAAUGGGCUUGGUAAUCUUGCCUGAGCAACUUAAUAUUUCUGGGCUUCAAUUUUCCCAUUUAAAAAAAUAAGACUAUAUGAUCUCUACUGUUGCUUUUGGCAAGACGGUUCUAUAAUUUUCCUUCAAUUUACCACAAAGAGCCCUGGACCAGAAAAUUCUCUGAAACCUUGUUUCUAAUAUAAGAUCAACCUGAUGAAUACUAGCAAUGAAAAAAGAAAUCAUUAAUAGGUGCAUA